CCAGACUCCUACGGGAGGCAGCAGUGAGGAAUAUUGGUCAAUGGGCGUGAGCCUGAACCAGCCAAGUAGCGUGCAGGAUUGACGGCCCUAUGGGUUGUAAACUGCUUUUGUUGGGGAGUAAAGUGAGGCACGCGUGCCUUUUUGCAUUUACCCUUCGAAUAAGGACCGGCUAAUUCCGUGCCAGCAGCCGCGGUAAUACGGAAGGUCCAGGCGUUAUCCGGAUUUAUUGGGUUUAAAGGGAGUGUAGGCGGUCUGUUAAGCGUGUUGUGAAAUUUAGGUGCUCAACAUCUACCUUGCAGCGCGAACUGGCGGACUUGAGUGCACGCAACGUAUGCGGAAUUCAUGGUGUAGCGGUGAAAUGCUUAGAUAUCAUGACGAACUCCGAUUGCGAAGGCAGCGUACGGGAGUGUUACUGACGCUUAAGCUCGAAGGUGCGGGUAUCGAACAGGAUUAGAUACCCUGGUAGUCCGCACGGUAAACGAUGGAUGCCCGCUGUUAGCGCCUGGCGUUAGCGGCUAAGCGAAAGCAUUAAGCAUCCCACCUGGGGAGUACGCCGGCAACGGUGAAACUCAAAGGAAUUGACGGGGGCCCGCACAAG
RNAcentral lists this ribosomal RNA (598 nucleotides) under uncultured bacterium. Its description in RNAcentral is "bacterial SSU rRNA". It matches the Rfam family "Bacterial small subunit ribosomal RNA", at positions 331 to 929 of the family's 1533-position model. The record is from RNAcentral.